CAAGGAUUCCCCUAGUAACUGCGAGUGAAGCGGGAAAAGCUCAAAUUUAAAAUCUGGCAGUCUCUGGCUGUCCGAGUUGUAAUCUAGAGAAGUAAUGCCCGUGCUGGACCGUGUAUAAGUCUCCUGGGAUGGGGCGUCAUAGAGGGUGAGAAUCCCGUCUUUGACACGGACUACCAGUGCAUUGUGGUAUGCUCUCAAAGAGUCGAGUUGUUUGGGAAUGCAGCUCAAAAUGGGUGGUAAAUUCCAUCUAAAGCUAAAUAUUGGCGAGAGACCGAUAGCGAACAAGUACCGUGAGGGAAAGAUGAAAAGAACUUUGGAAAGAGAGUUAAACAGUACGUGAAAUUGCUGAAAGGGAAACGCUUGAAGUCAGUCGCGUUGGCCGGGAAUCAGCCUUGCUUUUGCAUGGUGUACUUUCUGGUUGACGGGUCAGCAUCAAUUUUGACCGCUGGAAAAAGACCUGGGGAAUGUGGCAGCUUAGGCUGUGUUAUAGCCCCUAGUCGCAUACAGUGGUUGGGAUUGAGGAACUCAGCACGCCGCAAGGCCGGGUUUCGACCACGUCCGUGCUUAGGAUGCUGGCAUAAUGGCUUUAAGCGACCCGUCUUGAAACACGGACCAAGGAGUCUAACAUGCCUGCGAGUAUUUGAGUGGAAAACCCAAGUGCGCAAUGAAAGUGAAAGUUGAGAUCCCUGUCGUGGGGAGCAUCGACGCCCGGACCAGAACUUUUGGGACGGAUCCGCGGUGGAGCAUGUAUGUUGGGACCCGAAAGAUGGUGAACUAUGCCUGAAUAGGGUGAAGCCAGAGGAAACUCUGGUGGAGGCUCGUAGCGAUUCUGACGUGCAAAUCGAUCGUCAAAUUUGGGUAUAGGGGCGAAAGACUAAUCGAACCAUCUAGUAGCUGGUUCCUGC
RNAcentral lists this ribosomal RNA (905 nucleotides) under Agaricus dilatostipes. RNAcentral's name for it is "partial 28S ribosomal RNA". It matches the Rfam family "Eukaryotic large subunit ribosomal RNA", at positions 69 to 961 of the family's 3401-position model. Lineage: Eukaryota; Fungi; Basidiomycota; Agaricomycetes; Agaricales; Agaricaceae. The record is from RNAcentral.